AAAUAGCCGCAGAAAUUUAACUGUGCUAAGGUAGCAUAAUCAUUAGGCUUUUAAUUAGAGUUUGGAAUGAAAGGGGACACCUUUAAUAACUAUACUAAAAUAAACCAUUAAAAUUAUAACAAAAAUAAAAAUAUUUUUAUAAAAAAAAAAGACGACAAGACCCUAUUGAACUUAACUUUAGUUAAGCUGGGGCAGCUAAUUAAAAAUCAUUUUAAUAUACAAAUAUUUUAAUCAAAACCUAAUAUAAUUAAAUCAAACAAGUUACCAUAGGGAUAACAGCGUAAUUUUUUAAUAAAGCUCUUAUAUAAUAAAAAGAUUGCGACCUCGAUGUUGAAUUAUUAACCUUUUUAGAGCAAAACCUAAAAAAGGGGGUC
Molecule: ribosomal RNA, 374 nt
Filed under: Chanea sp.
Lineage: Eukaryota; Metazoa; Arthropoda; Arachnida; Araneae; Mysmenidae
Description: partial large subunit ribosomal RNA
Source: RNAcentral